Molecule: ribosomal RNA, 372 nt
Filed under: Vibrio vulnificus
Lineage: Bacteria; Pseudomonadati; Pseudomonadota; Gammaproteobacteria; Vibrionales; Vibrionaceae
Description: bacterial SSU rRNA
Rfam family: Bacterial small subunit ribosomal RNA
Source: RNAcentral
ACCUUCUCUUGACAUCCAGAGAAGCCAGCGGAGACGCAGGUGUGCCUUCGGGAACUCUGAGACAGGUGCUGCAUGGCUGUCGUCAGCUCGUGUUGUGAAAUGUUGGGUUAAGUCCCGCAACGAGCGCAACCCUUAUCCUUGUUUGCCAGCGAGUAAUGUCGGGAACUCCAGGGAGACUGCCGGUGAUAAACCGGAGGAAGGUGGGGACGACGUCAAGUCAUCAUGGCCCUUACGAGUAGGGCUACACACGUGCUACAAUGGCGCAUACAGAGGGCGGCCAACUUGCGAAAGUGAGCGAAUCCCAAAAAGUGCGUCGUAGUCCGGAUUGGAGUCUGCAACUCGACUCCAUGAAGUCGGAAUCGCUAGUAAUCG